GGGUUUUUUGUUGCUGACCGCGCACAUCAGAGGAGCUGUCUUCUCCCACACUGGCAUUUGCCUCCAGGUCACAAUAAAAUGGUGAUAAAAUGGCAGAGGUUUUAUGUAAGUGUAAACUCGUAAACUGUUGAUUCUUGAACACCACUUAUUGGCUAUUCCAUUCAAAUGAGUCAGAAAUCUCUCACGGCUAAACACUGGAUUUUGUUGUGCACUCUCCACGAGUCCUCUCACUGUAACCAGAUGUAAACAAGAGGUUCAUUGGUUAUAAAGGAACUUUGUGAGAUUGGGAUGAACUGAAAGAUUUCCACAAUCCAAUGAAUUAUGAACACAUAAAAGAAGAAGGACAAGAAAAAACAACAUGCCAAAAUGAAUCCAUCAGCCUAAACUGCAUUCAAAAGCGCAGGAACUCACGAUCCUGAAGGGCGACGAGAGCCUCAGAUCUGUCGUGCUGCAUGCGGGGGUGAACGACAUCAGGCUGCGGCAGAUGGAGGUUCUAAAGCAGGACUUAAUCGUGUCUGGACCGCUUAUGAUGUACAGACGAGGAAAUGAAAGGUUCAUAAGAUUAUUUUCUCUAAAUUA
RNAcentral lists this long non-coding RNA (579 nucleotides) under Carassius auratus (goldfish). RNAcentral's name for it is "lncRNA (ENSCARG00000041064.1)". The record is from RNAcentral. Lineage: Eukaryota; Metazoa; Chordata; Actinopteri; Cypriniformes; Cyprinidae.